This 343-nucleotide unclassified non-coding RNA is filed under the name soil metagenome. RNAcentral's name for it is "partial contains 5.8S ribosomal RNA, internal transcribed spacer 2, and large subunit ribosomal RNA". The stretch from base 1 to 120 matches the Rfam family "5.8S ribosomal RNA", at positions 35 to 154 of the family's 154-position model. The record is from RNAcentral.
GAUGAAGAACGUAGCGAAAUGCGAUAAGUAAUGUGAAUUGCAGAAUUCAGUGAACCAUCGAAUCUUUGAACGCACAUUGCGCCCGCCAGCAUUCUGGCGGGCAUGCCUGUUCGAGCGUCAUUUCAACCCUCGAGCCCCCCCGGGGGCCUCGGUGUUGGGGGACGGCACACCAGCCGCCCCCGAAAUGCAGUGGCGACCCCGCCGCAGCCUCCCCUGCGUAGUAGCACACACCUCGCACCGGAACGCGGAGGCGGUCACGCCGUAAAACGCCCAACUUUCUUAGAGUUGACCUCGGAUCAGGUAGGAAUACCCGCUGAACUUAAGCAUAUCAAUAAGCGGAGGA